Molecule: long non-coding RNA, 238 nt
Filed under: Prunus persica (peach)
Lineage: Eukaryota; Viridiplantae; Streptophyta; Magnoliopsida; Rosales; Rosaceae
Description: long non-coding RNA (PPER_LNC004994)
Source: RNAcentral
GGGACUAAAUUAAAUGAGAUUAAAUAGUCUAACAGUAAAAAAUUUGCCUCACUCGCUCAUUCAAUAUAACGAGCUUGAAACAUGGCUCACAAAAUAGCGAGCUUGCUAAACAGAGCAAGCGAGUCCGACGAUAACCAACUUCUUCUUCUUCUUCACCUAGAAUUGUCACCACCAUAUCCCUAGCCGAACCACCAGAAUCACCACAGACAGUCGUCAAACCCAGUCACUCAAACCAUCC